Molecule: small nucleolar RNA, 130 nt
Organism: Ictalurus furcatus (blue catfish)
Lineage: Eukaryota; Metazoa; Chordata; Actinopteri; Siluriformes; Ictaluridae
Product: small nucleolar RNA SNORA15
Exons: 1
Source: RefSeq, a predicted model, not a curated record
GCAUGGACGAAUUCUGUUUUACUCUUCCUGUAGUAAACACAGUCAGACACCAUGCCAGAUUACUACGCUCUCCUUUUCUCAUAGUGGUGCAUUACUGUGUUCUCACUCAUUUGUGGGGAAGCGAACAAUC